This 500-nucleotide ribosomal RNA is filed under the name uncultured bacterium. RNAcentral describes it as "partial 16S ribosomal RNA". It matches the Rfam family "Bacterial small subunit ribosomal RNA", at positions 30 to 523 of the family's 1533-position model. The record is from RNAcentral.
AUUGAACGCUGGCGGAAUGCUUUACACAUGCAAGUCGAACGGCAGCACGGACUUCGGUCUGGUGGCGAGUGGCGAACGGGUGAGUAAUGUAUCGGAACGUGCCCAGUCGUGGGGGAUAACGUAGUGAAAAUUACGCUAAUACCGCAUACGAUCUAUGGAUGAAAGCGGGGGAUCGCAAGAUCUCGCGCGAUUGGAGCGGCCGAUAUCAGAUGAGGUAGUUGGUGGGGUAAAGUCCCACCAAGACAACGAUCUGUAGCUGGUCUGAGAGGACGACCAGCCACACUGGAACUGAGACACGGUCCAGACUCCUACGGGAGGCAGCAGUGGGGAAUUUUGGACAAUGGGCGAAAGCCUGAUCCAGCCAUUCCGCGUGCAGGAUGAAGGCCCUCGGGUUGUAAACUGCUUUUGUACAGAACGAAAAGGUUUCUACUAAUACUAGGAGCUCAUGACGGUACUGUAAGAAUAAGCACCGGCUAACUACGUGCCAGCCGCCGCAGUAA